AUACGGAGGAUCCGAGCGUUAUCCGGAUUUAUUGGGUUUAAAGGGUGCGCAGGCGGCCAUUUAAGUCAGCGGUUAAAUCGUGGGGCUCUACCCCAUUCUGCCGUUGAUACUGGGUGGCUUGAUUGCGGUCGAGGUUGGCGGAAUUCGUUGUGUAGCGGUGAAAUGCUUAGAUAUCACGAAGAACUCCGAUUGCGAAGGCAGCCUGCUGGACUGUAACUGACGCUGAUGCUCGAAAGUGUGGGUAUCAAACAGGAUUAGAUACCCUGGUAGUCCACACAGUAAACGAUGAAUACUCGCUGUUUGCGAUAUACAGUAAGCGGCCAAGCGAAAGCGUUAAGUAUUCCACCUGGGGAGUACGCCGGCAACGGUGAUACUUAAAGGAAUUGACGGGG
This 392-nucleotide ribosomal RNA is filed under the name uncultured bacterium. Its description in RNAcentral is "partial 16S ribosomal RNA". It matches the Rfam family "Bacterial small subunit ribosomal RNA", at positions 523 to 918 of the family's 1533-position model. The record is from RNAcentral.